AAUAUCAAACCAGCAGGUUAUAAAUACUCCAUAAAACCCAUGUUCUGCUUCUGUUGUAUUUUAAACAUGCGGAAGUCAGUGGAUGACUUUUUGUUUUCUAGUAGUCGGUUCAAGUAUGAGUCAAAACAAACCACCUUGUUCAUUAGAAAAAAACAGUAUGAGAAAAUGUAGAGACCGCAACCGUUCUCGAGCGAGUCUUUUAUAAUGGCGUGCUCCUACACAUCAUCCUGCCCACUGGGCUGAGCAACGUGAAGGCUCAACAUAAAAGCUCGCGCGCUCAUGAAAGAUCACUGGAUUCCAAUGAUUUGGGCAACUGCUGUUUGCUACUUCAGAACACUUCAACAUCAAGACGAAUGCACGACUUUCUUCUCACCUAAAUACAAGAACUCAUUUCUGUCUUUGAGUGAUCACUGAAUAUGGACAGACUUCCUCACGACAUAUGUGACGGUGCAUGUCGUACAGCACUCAGCUGCUUGUGUGGGAUCUACGAGAUGCUCGUGAACGUGUUUUCAUGUGGAGAGCCAGAAGACCCAGUUGAGUCAGAAGAUGGAGAUAUUCAUCUCUCAGUGGAGGAGACUGAACCAGCAAGGACCAAAGACUCAGUACAUCCUUUCUUCUAAACCCAUACAUGAGACACGUCUUCUGACGUAAAGAGAAGAACAUGUCAUUAAAUAGGAUUUACAUUUUUAUUUAUAUUUUUACUUACGAAUUUUAUAUCUAUUUGAUAACUUUUGAAAGCGUUUUCAAGAACAAUAUGACAAUUUUCUUAUCUAUAUUUUUUCCUGCAUUAUUCAAUUACAUUAAUUUUAUUUAUACUACGCUUUUAAAAAUAAACAUUUUCUCAAAGCGGCUUUACACUGGAAAUGUGGUGAUAAAAAUGUUCUUUAUAAGUGUGUCUACAUAUAUACUGUAAAUAGCUUUUUAUAAUUUUGUAUCUUAAAUCCAAUUAAAAAUAGAACGAGUCAAAAUCUCUCUCGCUCUCUCUCUAUGUCUCUCGCACGGUCUCUCUGUCUCUCCCUCUAU
Long non-coding RNA from Silurus meridionalis, 1023 nucleotides. RefSeq lists it as uncharacterized. Lineage: Eukaryota; Metazoa; Chordata; Actinopteri; Siluriformes; Siluridae. The record is from RefSeq and is a predicted model, not a curated record. The transcript is spliced from 4 exons.